This 427-nucleotide ribosomal RNA is filed under the name uncultured bacterium. Its description in RNAcentral is "bacterial SSU rRNA". It matches the Rfam family "Bacterial small subunit ribosomal RNA", at positions 355 to 774 of the family's 1533-position model. The record is from RNAcentral.
UGGGGAAUUUUGGACAAUGGGCGCAAGCCUGAUCCAGCCAUGCCGCGUGAGUGAAGAAGGCCUUCGGGUUGUAAAGCUCUUUCGGACGGGAAGAAAUGGCGGGCUCUAACAUAGCCUGUCGAUGACGGUACCGUAAGAAGAAGCACCGGCUAACUACGUGCCAGCAGCCGCGGUAAUACGUAGGGUGCGAGCGUUAAUCGGAAUUACUGGGCGUAAAGCGCGUGUAGGCGGUCGUGCAAGUCGGGUGUGAAAGCCCAGGGCUCAACCCUGGAAGUGCAUUCGAUACUGCAUGACUACAGUCCCGGAGAGGAUGGUGGAACUCUCGCUGUAGAGGUGAAAUUCGUAGAUAUCGAGAAGAACACCGGUGGCGAAGGCGGCCAUCUGGACGGUGACUGACGCUGAGACGCGAAAGCGUGGGGAGCAAACA